CAUGACCUUGCUCAAGCGGUUCAGGACGCCUCAUGUCAGAAGUUACACGACAGAGUCGUUGUAAGCAUACGUUUCCCACGAAUUAUCCGGUAUGACGUGCUCGAAGGAAACUGUAUAUGGCUCUGGAACUGUAUUCUGCUGGGUGGCACACAUCAACAGGACAAUGCCGUCUUCAUCGGAACCACUGGAAUCACUUCACCAUUGUCUUUGCUGGCAUACAAUCUUCGAGUUUUUGAUCAAUCCCCACAGAUGGCUAUAGGUGAUCCCACAAUCAAAUAUGAUUGGCUAUCUCUCUUAUAUAUUUUUUCACAUAUUGACUAAAUUCUGUCUAUAGCAGUUGCUUUAUAUAAUGUAAAAUAUAUAUUUCUUCAUUUGUUAUUAGCUUUUGUGUAACUAUUCUGUAUAUACCUUAUUGUAACAACUGUUUUAUGUACUGUAUGCCUGACUGGCUUUUGGUAAUGUAAUUCAGUGUGCACUGGUGAAGCACUGCGUAUUUAAGCAUCAAUUAUGUAUCUCUCCUUAGCAGUUGACAUUCAUGGAGUCAUAACAUCUGCUCCGUUCACCGCCACUGCCUACCAUCAGGGUAUAAUUUCUUCUUUUAAUAUUUGUUAUACAUGAUGUAUUUCAUAUAUUACUGCUAUUAUCAGACAACCCUCUAAAUGCAUUCUGUGCCCAUACUUCAGUAUAAACAUCUGAGGAUGGUCAUAUAAUGAUCAAAUCUGGUAACCACUGAAAUAAAUGUUUCACUGUGGUCGA
Long non-coding RNA from Schistocerca gregaria, 756 nucleotides. RefSeq lists it as uncharacterized. The record is from RefSeq and is a predicted model, not a curated record. Lineage: Eukaryota; Metazoa; Arthropoda; Insecta; Orthoptera; Acrididae. The transcript has 2 exons.